Molecule: unclassified non-coding RNA, 421 nt
Filed under: soil metagenome
Description: partial contains 5.8S ribosomal RNA, internal transcribed spacer 2, and large subunit ribosomal RNA
Rfam family: 5.8S ribosomal RNA (bases 1-120)
Source: RNAcentral
GAUGAAGAACGUAGCGAAAUGCGAUACGUAAUGUGAAUUGCAGAAUUCAGUGAAUCAUCGAAUCUUUGAACGCAUAUUGCGCUCUUUGGUAUUCCGAAGAGCAUGCUUGUUUGAGUAUCAGUAAACACCUCAACCUCUUCUUGAUUUUUCAAAAGGAGGGUGGACUUGAGCUAUCCCAACAACCUUUACCGGUCGGCGGGCGGCUUGAAAUGCAGGUGCAGCUGGACUUUUAUCUGAGCUAAAAGCAUAUCUAUUUAGUCCUCGUCAAACAGGAUUAUUACUUUUGCUGCAGCUAACAUAAAGGAUAAUUGUCCUCUUUGCUGACUGAUGCAGGAUUUUACGACACUCUAUGUGUUGUUCAACUCGAUCUCAAAUCAAGUAAGACUACCCGCUGAACUUAAGCAUAUCAAUAAGCGGAGGA